RNAcentral lists this ribosomal RNA (1469 nucleotides) under Lacticaseibacillus casei. Its description in RNAcentral is "bacterial SSU rRNA". It matches the Rfam family "Bacterial small subunit ribosomal RNA". The record is from RNAcentral. Lineage: Bacteria; Bacillati; Bacillota; Bacilli; Lactobacillales; Lactobacillaceae.
GGCGGCGGGCCUAUACAUGCAAGUCGAACGAGUUCUUGUUGAUGAUCGGUGCUUGCACCGAGAUUCAACAUGGAACGAGUGGCGGACGGGUGAGUAACACGUGGGUAACCUGCCCUUAAGUGGGGGAUAACAUUUGGAAACAGAUGCUAAUACCGCAUAGAUCCAAGAACCGCAUGGUUCUUGGCUGAAAGAUGGCGUAAGCUAUCGCUUUUGGAUGGACCCGCGGCGUAUUAGCUAGUUGGUGAGGUAAUGGCUCACCAAGGCGAUGAUACGUAGCCGAACUGAGAGGUUGAUCGGCCACAUUGGGACUGAGACACGGCCCAAACUCCUACGGGAGGCAGCAGUAGGGAAUCUUCCACAAUGGACGCAAGUCUGAUGGAGCAACGCCGCGUGAGUGAAGAAGGCUUUCGGGUCGUAAAACUCUGUUGUUGGAGAAGAAUGGUCGGCAGAGUAACUGUUGUCGGCGUGACGGUAUCCAACCAGAAAGCCACGGCUAACUACGUGCCAGCAGCCGCGGUAAUACGUAGGUGGCAAGCGUUAUCCGGAUUUAUUGGGCGUAAAGCGAGCGCAGGCGGUUUUUUAAGUCUGAUGUGAAAGCCCUCGGCUUAACCGAGGAAGCGCAUCGGAAACUGGGAAACUUGAGUGCAGAAGAGGACAGUGGAACUCCAUGUGUAGCGGUGAAAUGCGUAGAUAUAUGGAAGAACACCAGUGGCGAAGGCGGCUGUCUGGUCUGUAACUGACGCUGAGGCUCGAAAGCAUGGGUAGCGAACAGGAUUAGAUACCCUGGUAGUCCAUGCCGUAAACGAUGAAUGCUAGGUGUUGGAGGGUUUCCGCCCUUCAGUGCCGCAGCUAACGCAUUAAGCAUUCCGCCUGGGGAGUACGACCGCAAGGUUGAAACUCAAAGGAAUUGACGGGGGCCCGCACAAGCGGUGGAGCAUGUGGUUUAAUUCGAAGCAACGCGAAGAACCUUACCAGGUCUUGACAUCUUUUGAUCACCUGAGAGAUCAGGUUUCCCCUUCGGGGGCAAAAUGACAGGUGGUGCAUGGUUGUCGUCAGCUCGUGUCGUGAGAUGUUGGGUUAAGUCCCGCAACGAGCGCAACCCUUAUGACUAGUUGCCAGCAUUUAGUUGGGCACUCUAGUAAGACUGCCGGUGACAAACCGGAGGAAGGUGGGGAUGACGUCAAAUCAUCAUGCCCCUUAUGACCUGGGCUACACACGUGCUACAAUGGAUGGUACAACGAGUUGCGAGACCGCGAGGUCAAGCUAAUCUCUUAAAGCCAUUCUCAGUUCGGACUGUAGGCUGCAACUCGCCUACACGAAGUCGGAAUCGCUAGUAAUCGCGGAUCAGCACGCCGCGGUGAAUACGUUCCCGGGCCUUGUACACACCGCCCGUCACACCAUGAGAGUUUGUAACACCCGAAGCCGGUGGCGUAACCCUUUUAGGGAGCGAGCCGUCUAAGGUGAACAAA